AACAGGAUUAGAUACCCUGGUAGUCCACACAGUAAACGAUGAAUACUCGCUGUUUGCGAUAUACAGUAAGCGGCCAAGCGAAAGCAUUAAGUAUUCCACCUGGGGAGUACGCCGGCAACGGUGAAACUCAAAGGAAUUGACGGGGGCCCGCACAUGCGGAGGAACAUGUGGUUUAAUUCGAUGAUACGCGAGGAACCUUACCCGGGCUUGAAUUGCAACUGAAUGAUGUGGAGACAUGUCAGCCGCAAGGCAGUUGUGAAGGUGCUGCAUGGUUGUCGUCAGCUCGUGCCGUGAGGUGUCGGCUUAAGUGCCAUAACGAGCGCAACCCUUAUCGAUAGUUACCAUCAGGUUAUGCUGGGGACUCUGUCGAGACUGCCGUCGUAAGAUGUGAGGAAGGUGGGGAUGACGUCAAAUCAGCACGGCCCUUACGUCCGGGGCUACACACGUGUUACAAUGGGGGGUACAGAAGGCAGCUACACGGCGACGUGAUGCUAAUCCCUAAAGCCUCUCUCAGUUCGGAUUGGAGUCUGCAACCCGACUCCAUGAAGCUGGAUUCGCUAGUAAUCGCGCAUCAGCCACGGCGCGGUGAAUACGUUCCCGGGCCUUGUACACACCGCCCGUCAAGCCAUGAAAGCCGGGGGUACCUGAAGUACGUAACCGCAAGGAGCGUCCUAGGGUAAAACUGGUAAUUGGGGCUAAGUCGUAACAAGGUAACC
Molecule: ribosomal RNA, 716 nt
Filed under: uncultured bacterium
Lineage: Bacteria
Description: bacterial SSU rRNA
Rfam family: Bacterial small subunit ribosomal RNA
Source: RNAcentral